AGAAUGCCAAAGAGCAGCAGGAUGGAUCCAGCAUCCUCUCCUGAUAAAAGAGGGCUAGAAGACGGGAGGCUCCGGGAAGUCUACUGGGGAUGGAAAACAAACUGAAACUGGCUCAAGUGAAUGCUCACUGGAAGGCUUACUGGAAAACUUACUGGAAGGAUGUGAGGACAUGUUCGGGAAUCUAUUUGCAGAAAACAUAUUCAGGGACAACAGAAAAUUUAUAUAAACUGCAACCUCAAUACUUUGAAGACAGUAGCACGAGGAAUGAAUUAGUG
RNAcentral lists this long non-coding RNA (275 nucleotides) under Homo sapiens (human). Its description in RNAcentral is "HSALNT0334710". Lineage: Eukaryota; Metazoa; Chordata; Mammalia; Primates; Hominidae. The record is from RNAcentral.